UGCAUAUCAAUAAGCGGAGGAAAAGAAACUAACAAGGAUUCCCCUAGUAGCGGCGAGCGAAGCGGGAAGAGCUCAAAUUUAUAAUCUGGCACCUUCGGUGUCCGAGUUGUAAUCUCUAGAAAUGUUUUCCGCGUUGGACCGCACACAAGUCUGUUGGAAUACAGCGGCAUAGUGGUGAGACCCCCGUAUAUGGUGCGGACGCCCAGCGCUUUGUGAUACAUUUUCGAAGAGUCGAGUUGUUUGGGAAUGCAGCUCAAAUUGGGUGGUAAAUUCCAUCUAAAGCUAAAUAUUGGCGAGAGACCGAUAGCGAACAAGUACCGUGAGGGAAAGAUGAAAAGCACUUUGGAAAGAGAGUUAACAGUACGUGAAAUUGUUGGAAGGGAAACGCUUGAAGUCAGACUUGCUUGCCGAGCAAUCGGUUUGCAGGCCAGCAUCAGUUUUCCGGGAUGGAUAAUGGUAGAGAGAAGGUAGCAGUUUCGGCUGUGUUAUAGCUCUCUGCUGGAUACAUCUUGGGGGACUGAGGAACGCAGUGUGCCUUUGGCGGGGGUUUCGACCUCUUCACACUUAGGAUGCUGGUGGAAUGGCUUUAAACGACCCGUCUUGAAACACG
RNAcentral lists this ribosomal RNA (610 nucleotides) under Rhodotorula mucilaginosa. RNAcentral's name for it is "eukaryotic LSU rRNA". It matches the Rfam family "Eukaryotic large subunit ribosomal RNA", at positions 37 to 663 of the family's 3401-position model. Lineage: Eukaryota; Fungi; Basidiomycota; Microbotryomycetes; Sporidiobolales; Sporidiobolaceae. The record is from RNAcentral.